This 452-nucleotide unclassified non-coding RNA is filed under the name Hevea brasiliensis (rubber tree). Lineage: Eukaryota; Viridiplantae; Streptophyta; Magnoliopsida; Malpighiales; Euphorbiaceae. The record is from RNAcentral.
AAUGUUACUCACCUUACCAGUGCCAAGCUUACAAGACCAAGCAGAAAGCAAACUAUGAAAACAAUUUGUUACUCAAUAACGCCCACAAUAUGAACAAGGGAUAACAAGCCCAAGCAAUGAUCAAACUCGAGUUCCGUGGUGUAUUAUAAUUACGUUGUUUCAGCUGUGCGUACCUUUUCUUCUUCGCUAACUAAGUUUGCAGAUUCCGUAUUUUCGGUGGUGUCCUGAAUCUCAGAAAUUGUUUCUGCGUUGACAUUGCUGGUGAGUACUACUGGAUCACCAGUGCUUCUUGGUCUUACAGAACCAGCACUUGGACUACCAUGGCCAGAAACUUGUUCCUCUGAUUGAUUGGAUCGAUUCAAGGCAUGGCAAUGUGGGCAGUAGUAAGUAAUGAAUGGGAAAUCUUCCUUCUUGACAAGCCCAUUGUGCAUAUGGCAGUUGCCACAGAUGAG